UACGGAGGAUCCGAGCGUUAUCCGGAUUUAUUGGGUUUAAAGGGUGCGUAGGCGGGCUAUUAAGUCAGUGGUGAAAUCCUGCAGCUUAACUGCAGAACUGCCGUUGAUACUGAUAGUCUUGAGUUUGGUUAAGGUAGGCGGAAUGUGUAAUGUAGCGGUGAAAUGCUUAGAUAUUACACAGAACACCGAUUGCGAAGGCAGCUUGCUGGGUCAUUACUGACGCUGAUGCACGAAAGCGUGGGGAUCAAACAGGAUUA
RNAcentral lists this ribosomal RNA (257 nucleotides) under uncultured prokaryote. RNAcentral's name for it is "partial 16S ribosomal RNA". It matches the Rfam family "Bacterial small subunit ribosomal RNA", at positions 524 to 780 of the family's 1533-position model. The record is from RNAcentral.